Molecule: ribosomal RNA, 505 nt
Filed under: Clostridioides difficile
Lineage: Bacteria; Bacillati; Bacillota; Clostridia; Peptostreptococcales; Peptostreptococcaceae
Description: bacterial LSU rRNA
Rfam family: Bacterial large subunit ribosomal RNA
Source: RNAcentral
AUCCGGGGGUUCGGCGUGGAAGGGCCAUCGCUCAACGGAUAAAAGCUACCCUGGGGAUAACAGGCUUAUCUCCCCCAAGAGUCCACAUCGACGGGGAGGUUUGGCACCUCGAUGUCGGCUCAUCACAUCCUGGGGCUGUAGUAGGUCCCAAGGGUUGGGCUGUUCGCCCAUUAAAGUGGUACGCGAGCUGGGUUCAGAACGUCGUGAGACAGUUCGGUCCCUAUCCGUCGCAGGCGUAGGAAAUUUGAGAAGACCUGUCCUUAGUACGAGAGGACCGGGAUGGACGUACCUCUGGUGUACCAGUUGUCCUGCCAAGGGCAUGGCUGGGUAGCUAUGUACGGAAUGGAUAAGCGCUGAAAGCAUCUAAGCGCGAAGCCAACUUCAAGAUAAGAUUUCCCACCGCAAGGGUAAGACCCCAGAAAGACUAUCUGGUUGAUAGGUCGAAGGUGUAAGUGCAGCAAUGUAUUUAGCUUAUCGAUACUAAUAGGUCGAGGACUUGACCAAU